Molecule: ribosomal RNA, 235 nt
Filed under: Clostridium botulinum
Lineage: Bacteria; Bacillati; Bacillota; Clostridia; Eubacteriales; Clostridiaceae
Also listed under: 1 other name
Description: partial 16S ribosomal RNA
Rfam family: Bacterial small subunit ribosomal RNA
Source: RNAcentral
CUUCCUUCGGGAAGUGGAUUAGCGGCGGACGGGUGAGUAACACGUGGGUAACCUGCCUCAAAGUGGGGGAUAGCCUUCCGAAAGGAAGAUUAAUACCGCAUAAUAUAGGAGAAUCGCAUGAUUUUCUUAUCAAAGAUUUAUUGCUUUGAGAUGGACCCGCGGCGCAUUAGCUAGUUGGUAAGGUAACGGCUUACCAAGGCAACGAUGCGUAGCCGACCUGAGAGGGUGAUCGGCC